RNAcentral lists this ribosomal RNA (490 nucleotides) under uncultured bacterium. RNAcentral's name for it is "partial 16S ribosomal RNA". It matches the Rfam family "Bacterial small subunit ribosomal RNA", at positions 30 to 507 of the family's 1533-position model. The record is from RNAcentral.
AUUGAACGCUGGCGGCAUGCCUUACACAUGCAAGUCGAACGGCAGCAUGAUCUAGCUUGCUAGAUUGAUGGCGAGUGGCGAACGGGUGAGUAAUACAUCGGAACGUGCCCUGUAGUGGGGGAUAACUAGUCGAAAGAUUAGCUAAUACCGCAUACGACCUGAGGGUGAAAGUGGGGGACCGCAAGGCCUCAUGCUAUAGGAGCGGCCGAUGUCUGAUUAGCUAGUUGGUGAGGUAAAGGCUCACCAAGGCGACGAUCAGUAGCUGGUCUGAGAGGACGAUCAGCCACACUGGGACUGAGACACAGCCCAGACUCCUACGGGAGGCAGCAGUGGGGAAUUUUGGACAAUGGGCGAAAGCCUGAUCCAGCAAUGCCGCGUGUGUGAAGAAGGCCUUCGGGUUGUAAAGCACUUUUGUCCGGAAAGAAAUGGCUCUGGUUAAUACCUGGGGUCGAUGACGGUACCGGAAGAAUAAGGACCGGCUAACUACGUG